CACGUCGGGACCAAGCGUUGUCCGGAUUUAUUGGGCGUAAAGAGCUCGUAGGCGGUUCGGUAAGUCGGGUGUGAAAACUCUGGGCUCAACUCGGAGAGGCACCCGAUACUGCCGUGACUCGAGUCCGGUAGGGGAGCACGGAAUUCCUGGUGUAGCGGUGAAAUGCGCAGAUAUCAGGAGGAACACCGGUGGCGAAGGCGGUGCUCUGGGCCGGUACUGACGCUGAGGAGCGACAGCGUGGGUAGCAAACAGG
RNAcentral lists this ribosomal RNA (253 nucleotides) under uncultured bacterium. Its description in RNAcentral is "partial 16S ribosomal RNA". It matches the Rfam family "Bacterial small subunit ribosomal RNA", at positions 524 to 776 of the family's 1533-position model. The record is from RNAcentral.